Molecule: long non-coding RNA, 491 nt
Filed under: Neogale vison (American mink)
Lineage: Eukaryota; Metazoa; Chordata; Mammalia; Carnivora; Mustelidae
Description: Neovison vison (American mink) lncRNA (ENSNVIG00000006136.1)
Source: RNAcentral
GAACACGUCGCAUUGGAGAACUCUUGGUGUGUGUUGCCUGCCCCUGCUUCCCGCUCCGUCCUAGCCUCUCCGACGUCAGCUCUAGCACAUUCUGCCUGAGGUAGACAACGCCCAAGCUAGAGCAGAAAGCAACAGAGAAAUGAAUGAGAUUCACGUGGAACUCAGCCUAGGACUCGGGAUGCUAAGCUGGCCACGCCUGCCCGUGCCCCCUGGACCCCCUCACCGCCCACGGGGAUCCCCAUCAGCCAGCAGCAUCUCCUUGAACUUCUAGCAGAUCCCAGCAUUCCAUGCAGAGGAGGCAGAAAUCUCACACCAGGAGCAAGUUCCCUGAACUGAGUGUUUGGAGAGAAUGUUUUCCCCAAAAAGUACCUUCAAGUUCUUUAGAAAACGCAUCCCAGGCGGGGGUCCCGGGCAGCUGGAAGGCCCCGGGCAACGCAGCCCUUCUUCCAAGAUGCUGUCCCACGUGUCAAGCUGAGUGUCUGCUGCCUUGA